GUAAACAUAGUUUAAUAAAAACACUAGAUUGUGAUUCUAGAGACAGAAGUUAAACUCUUCUUGUUCACC
This 69-nucleotide transfer RNA is filed under the name Scaphiopus holbrookii (eastern spadefoot toad). Its description in RNAcentral is "tRNA-His". It matches the Rfam family "tRNA". Rfam says of the family: Transfer RNA (tRNA) molecules are approximately 80 nucleotides in length. Lineage: Eukaryota; Metazoa; Chordata; Amphibia; Anura; Pelobatidae. The record is from RNAcentral.